AUUGAACGCUGGCGGCAUGCCUUACACAUGCAAGUCGAACGGCAGCAUGGAGAGCUUGCUCUCUGAUGGCGAGUGGCGAACGGGUGAGUAAUGCAUCGGAACGUACCGUGUAAUGGGGGAUAACGUAGCGAAAGUUACGCUAAUACCGCAUACGACCUGAGGGUGAAAGCAGGGGAUCGCAAGACCUUGCGUUAUACGAGCGGCCGAUGUCAGAUUAGCUAGUUGGUGAGGUAAAGGCUCACCAAAGCGACGAUCUGUAGCGGGUCUGAGAGGAUGAUCCGCCAUACUGGGACUGAGACACGGCCCAGACUCCUACGGGAGGCAGCAGUGGGGAAUUUUGGACAAUGGGGGCAACCCUGAUCCAGCCAUGCCGCGUGAGUGAAGAAGGCCUUCGGGUUGUAAAGCUCUUUCGGCCGGGAAGAAAUCGCACAGGCUAAUACUCUGUGUGGAUGACGGUACCGGCAUAAGAAGCACCGGCUAACUACGUGCCAGCCGCCGCAGUAA
This 504-nucleotide ribosomal RNA is filed under the name uncultured bacterium. RNAcentral's name for it is "partial 16S ribosomal RNA". It matches the Rfam family "Bacterial small subunit ribosomal RNA", at positions 30 to 523 of the family's 1533-position model. The record is from RNAcentral.